Molecule: ribosomal RNA, 468 nt
Filed under: uncultured bacterium
Lineage: Bacteria
Description: partial 16S ribosomal RNA
Rfam family: Bacterial small subunit ribosomal RNA
Source: RNAcentral
GACGAACGCUGGCGGCGUGCUUAACACAUGCAAGUCGAACGGAAAGGCCCUGCUUUUGUGGGGUGCUCGAGUGGCGAACGGGUGAGUAACACGUGAGUAACCUGCCCUUGACUUUGGGAUAACUUCAGGAAACUGGGGCUAAUACCGGAUAGGAGCUCCUGCUGCAUGGUGGGGGUUGGAAAGUUUCGGCGGUUGGGGAUGGACUCGCGGCUGAUCAGCUUGUUAGUGGGGUAGUGGCUUACCAAGGCUUUGACGGGUAGCCGGCCUGAGAGGGUGACCGGCCACAUUGGGACUGAGAUACGGCCCAGACUCCUACGGGAGGCAGCAGUGGGGAAUAUUGCACAAUGGGCGGAAGCCUGAUGCAGCAACGCCGCGUGCGGGAUGACGGCCUUCGGGUUGUAAACCGCUUUCGCCUGUGACGAAGCGUGAGUGACGGUAAUGGGUAAAGAAGCACCGGCUAACUACGUG